UACGGAGGGUGCAAGCGUUAUCCGGAUUUACUGGGUUUAAAGGGUGCGUAGGCGGGCCUUUAAGUCAGUGGUGAAAGCUCCGAGCUUAACUCGGAAACUGCCAUUGAUGCUAUUGGUCUUGAAUUCGGUCGAGGUUGGCGGAAUGUGUCGUGUAGCGGUGAAAUGCUUAGAUAUGACACAGAACACCGAUUGCGAAGGCAGCUAGCUAGACCGACAUUGACGCUGAGGCACGAAAGCGUGGGGAUCAAACAGG
This 253-nucleotide ribosomal RNA is filed under the name uncultured bacterium. RNAcentral describes it as "partial 16S ribosomal RNA". It matches the Rfam family "Bacterial small subunit ribosomal RNA", at positions 524 to 776 of the family's 1533-position model. The record is from RNAcentral.